RNAcentral lists this ribosomal RNA (350 nucleotides) under uncultured bacterium. RNAcentral's name for it is "bacterial SSU rRNA". It matches the Rfam family "Bacterial small subunit ribosomal RNA", at positions 8 to 350 of the family's 1533-position model. The record is from RNAcentral.
AGAGUUUGAUCAUGGCUCAGGAUGAACGCUAGCUACAGGCUUAACACAUGCAAGUCGAGGGGCAGCAUCAUCAAAGCUUGCUUUGAUGGAUGGCGACCGGCGCACGGGUGAGUAACACGUAUCCAACCUGCCGACAACACUGGGAUAGCCUUUCGAAAGAAAGAUUAAUACCGGAUGGCAUAAUUAUUCCGCAUGGGAUAAUUAUUAAAGAAUUUCGGUUGUCGAUGGGGAUGCGUUCCAUUAGGCAGUUGGCGGGGUAACGGCCACCAAACCUACGAUGGAUAGGGGUUCUGGAGAGGAAGGUCCCCCANAUUGGAACUGAGACACGGUCCAAACUCCUACGGGAGGCA